This 555-nucleotide long non-coding RNA is filed under the name Lathyrus oleraceus (garden pea). RNAcentral describes it as "Pisum sativum (pea) long non-coding RNA (PSAT_LNC033068)". The record is from RNAcentral. Lineage: Eukaryota; Viridiplantae; Streptophyta; Magnoliopsida; Fabales; Fabaceae.
UCCAUUUUAUUUUAUUUUAAAGAUUUAUUUUGUGCUUGUUAAAUCACUUCUGAGUUUGUCAUUAUUCACUCAAACAUCAAACUUUAAGAUAUACUAAAAAAAAUGUAAGUCCGAGACCCAAAAUAUAAAACCUCAUACAAUAAGAUGUGAGGUUAUUAUUUAUCAAUUUUUCUUAAUUAUAAGCAAUCAUCUUGACUUACAAAAGAGUCAUUAUUCUGAUGCCCAUUUAAUCCACAAACUAUACAACAUGAGCAUGUGUGUGUAUUAACAGUAGUGUCACAUCUACAACGACGAGCCUGAGCACCUUUAAACCUUGCAUUAAAUUCAGCAUGAAUAACAUUAUAGAAAAAAAUAUCAACAAAAAAAAAAUAUAUAUAAAAAUAAAAAUAAUAAUAAUAAUAAUAAUAAUAAUAAUAAUAUACCACAUCCAUAGCUAAGGUUUAAGAGAGCAAUCAAAGCAGCAACAAAUAGGAGAAUGCUUCCUAGCUUCAUGAUGUUAUUAACACACUCAAUAAUAUCAAAUAGAGCUUUGAAAAUGUAGGGACAAUGUAAGAG